RNAcentral lists this long non-coding RNA (3154 nucleotides) under Homo sapiens (human). RNAcentral describes it as "HSALNT0286740". Lineage: Eukaryota; Metazoa; Chordata; Mammalia; Primates; Hominidae. The record is from RNAcentral.
CACUAUCAUUAUAAUGGAAUAUUACUUAGUCAUAAAAACGAAUGAAGUUACCAAUACAGGCUACAUCAUGAAUGAAUCUUUAAAGCAUUAUGUUAAACAGACAGACACAAAAGAUCACACACUGUAUGACUCCAUUUUUAUUUAUUAUCUGGAACAGGCAAAUCCAUACAGAUAGAAAGUACAUUAGUGGUUGCCAGGGGCUCAGGGGGAGGGGAGAAUGAGGGAUUUCUUUCAGGGUUUCUUCAUAGGAUGUUAUUUGGUAAAGGGUUUCUAAAGUUGAUUGCAGUGAUGCUGGCACAUGUCUGUGAGUAUACUAAAAAUCUGAAUUGUACACUUUAAGUGGGUUAAUUGUAUGAUGUGUAAAUUAUAUCUCAAUAAAGCCGUUUACAUAUAUAUUUACAUAUAUAUAUUUAAAUAAGAGAUGGAGUCAACAUCACCAAUACCCUCAUAUAGCCAAGACAAUUUUUUAAGAGAACAAAUUUUACUCAUAAGAUAUGAAGUCAUACUGUAAAGCUAUAAUAAUUAAAUAAGUGUGGUGCUGAUUUGGGAUUAGGUGAGCAAAUCACUAGUGCCCAGAAACUAACCCAUGCAUUUGUGGAAAUUUGGGUUAUAAUAUUUCAAAUCAAUAGGGAAAGAAGACUGACUCCUCAAUAAAUGAGACUGAGACAAUUUGCUAUCUAUCUGGAAAAAGGUAAAUUUCUACUUCCUACCACACACACACACAAAUUUCAGAAGGGAUGGAUUAAAUAUUUAUAUGUAUAAAACCCAAUUAAAAUUGUAUUUAAAGAACAUGUAAGAGAAUAUGUUUUUUACCUUGAGGUAAGGAAUAGCUCUCUAAAAAGAACCAAAACAAACAAACAAAAAAGCAACCAAAAUCACAAACAGUAGGCUUCCUUAAAUUGCAUCCCAGAAUUAGGCAGAUUUACUAAAGUGAACACUGCCAACCCUUUAAUGACGAGUGCACCCAUCCUCCAAUUUCUGGGAGUGCUGCUGCUAACAGCUUAUAAAUGCUACCUUCUCCAUAAACUUGCACUCAGCUGUUGGGAAAUACCUUGUUCUAUUAGUUUUCUAUUGAUGCAGUAACAAAUUGCUACAAUCUUAGUGACUUAAAAAAAAACACAUGUAUUAUCUUACAGUUCUGUAGAAGUCCAACAUGGGUCUUUCUGGGCUAAAAUUAAGACAGAGGAUAAAGUAACUAGGUGCCAUCUUGGAAGCAGAGAUCAAGCCCUCACCAUGUCAGAGGCGUUUGAACCAGAGCAACUCCAUCUUGAAUAGGAGCAGGGUAAAAUAAGGCUGAGACCUACUGGGCUGCAUUCCCAAGAGGUUAAGGCAUUCUUAGUCACAGGAUGAGAUAAGAGGUUGGCACAAGAUACAGGUCAUAAAGACCUUCUUGAUAAAACAGUCUGCAGUAAAGAAGCUGGCUAAAACCCACCACAACCAAGAUGGCAAUGAAACUGACCUCCGGUCAUCCUCACUGCUACACACCCACCAACACCAUGACAGUUUACAAAUGCCAAAGCAACAUCGGGAAGUUACCCUCUAUGGUCUAAAAACGGGAGGCAUGAAUAAUUUACCCCCUUGUUUAGCAUAUAAUCAAGAAAUAACCAUAAAAAUGGGCAGUGCCCUCGGGGCUGCCCUGCCUAUGAAGUAGCCAUUCUUUUAUUCCUUUACUUUCUUCAUAAACUUACUUUCACUUUGCCCUAUGGACUUGCCUCAAAUUCUUUCUUGCACGAGAUCCAAGAACCCUCUCUUGGGGUCUGGAUCGGGACUCAUUUCCAGUAACAACCAGACACCAAACCUGUCCAUUCCUUGAUCUUGGAUUUUCCAGAUUCUGGAACCAUGAGAAAUAAAUCUCUGUUGUUUAUAAAUUACCUAGUCUGUGGUAUUUCAUUAUAACAGCACAGACUAAGACACCAAGUUACCAUUACCAUUGUGUUAGCUAAUUGGCUUUAUCCAGGGGAAAAAUAAACUUCUCAUAUCUUUACGACAGGAGGUGAUUCUGACACUUGGAGUAAGAUGGCGACCAAAGUUAGGCUGCUACCCUCCCACAGGAACUGGGAAAUGAGGGUGCUUUCUCCCUUGAUGUCUACAUUUCAAAGAGAUGACUCUUAGGUCCAUUCUUGAGAAAGACAUUUGUGGGUCACAAAGAUGGCAAAAGACCUACUUAGUCUGCAAAAGGAUUUAUGUACAUUUAAAAGAGAGGAGAAAGUACUUACAAUUAUAAGUUUUCUCAAGUAAAUGUUCUGGAAAAAAAGGAGGGGAGAGAAAUCUCAUACCUUAUUUUCAAUGGGAGUAAUUAAGCCUCUUAUUGUUAAUUUGUAUCUGUCCUUACAAUCUCCUGCCUGUGUUACUAUAAAAUAGUAACGUGAACAUUUUUUUAGUUAUCUUUAUUGUGGUUUUUUUCCCUUUCUCUGGGCAGUUGUAGCCAUCUAAAAUCAGCAAAUCUGUAGUAAAAUACAAAGCAAAACAAUUAUUAGAAGCAUGAUAGAACAUCAGAAUUACUAAAUUUGUAGAAAGUGAAUUUUUUAGAAAUUUUUAUCUGCCUUGGGGAAAUAACCUUUGAAUAUAUUAUACUAAUGCUGAAUAGUUAAAUCUGAGUUUUAAAAGAUAUUUGAAAUACACUUUUAUUCUGAUUCUAAACAAAAAGGAAUGGCAAUGAUAGUAACAAAAUUUCCCCACUGAACAACAUAAGGAUGUUUCACAUACUCAUACCAAAUCUCUAUGCCAGUUAGGCACAACUGAAUAUUGUGAUGUGACAGUAGCAGUCUUACAUUUGAAACUCAAGAAGAAAUCAAUUGCAUUCCCAAACAGCUAAAUAUGCAGGUCCAAACAAUGAAGGUAUUUUUUAAACUGUCACAUUCACUCCAAAGCCCAUUCAUCUCCUUCAGCAUCCCACAGAUGGAGCACAUGUUGCCCUUAGCUAGAUAAUAAAGUGGCACACACAGUGCACCACUUGACAUCACAGAACAGCUGCCUAUAAAACUAGACUUUUGACACUGGGCUCCAGCUUCAUUCUCACAGGUCAUCAUCCUCAUCUGGGAGAGCAGUUGUCUAAGCAACCUCUAAAUCAUGCUCAUACUAAACUGCCAAAUUUGGGUCCAUGACAAUCUCUGGUGAGGCAAGAGCAGGCAUGGCAACAAAUUCCAAGUUACGG